AUGAGGUGGCUGUGGCUCUCAUGGAACGACGGCAACAAGGCAUGGCAGGGGCUGGAUUUGCCUAUCGACCACACGGUCAGAUCCCUGUUCAACGCAUAUGUUCACUUCCAGUUGGGCAAGGGUGACCGCAUUCUCUUUUGGAAGGAGCCGUGGUGUAAGGGCAUCAACCUCCACGACGCCUUCCCAGCACUGUUCCAGCAUUGCACCAGGAAAAACCUCACAGUUGCACAAGCCUUGGAGAACAACAGAUGGAUCCGACACCUCAAAGCCAACCUCUCUGCACAGGCGACGAGGGAGUUCCUGAAACUGUGGGAGGAAAUACAAAAUAUACAGUUAACACAAGAGCCCGAUCGAGUUCAGUGGAAAUGGACAGCAAACGGCAUGUACACGGCGAGAUCGGCUUACAAAAUUCGGUUUGAGGGCUGCACUCGGCCUUCGUGGGCUGCGUUCCUUUGGAAAUCGGAUGCACCGGGCAAAUGCAAGCUUUUUGCAUGGUUGGCUCUGCUUGGACGCUGCAACACGUCCGAUGUCCUUGCGAGGAAAGGCUGGCCUCACAAUCCGUCUUGCUCUCUCUGCAAUGGGCCAAUGGAGGAUGUCGUGCACCUGCUAGCUUCCUGUCCCGUCUCCAUUCGAAUUUGGCACGACAUCAUUGCUCGCUGCAACCUUCAUCCAGGCCUCGCUCCCUCCACCACCACAACUUCCCUGGUGCUUUGGAUCGAGCAGUCCAAUGGCAUCCUUACGGCAUCAGCAAAGAAGCCAUGGAGCGCACUCGUGCAGCUGGUUUGGUGGUCGAUAUGGAACGAACGCAACGCAAGGAUUUUCAGAAACCAACCAUCGCCGCAGACGACGGUGGUGGAACGGAUGAUUGAAGAAGCAGCGGUCUGGCAGAGGGCGGGACGGGGCAAGGCCAUCUCCCUCCUCAACAGACCAAGAGAACCAGACUAG
RNAcentral lists this ribosomal RNA (945 nucleotides) under Triticum aestivum (bread wheat). Its description in RNAcentral is "partial small subunit ribosomal RNA". The record is from RNAcentral. Lineage: Eukaryota; Viridiplantae; Streptophyta; Magnoliopsida; Poales; Poaceae.